This 292-nucleotide ribosomal RNA is filed under the name uncultured bacterium. RNAcentral describes it as "partial 16S ribosomal RNA". It matches the Rfam family "Bacterial small subunit ribosomal RNA", at positions 505 to 796 of the family's 1533-position model. The record is from RNAcentral.
GUGUCAGCAGCCGCGGUAAUACGUAGGGUGCAAGCGUUGUCCGGAUUUAUUGGGCGUAAAGAGCUCGUAGGCGGUUUGUCGCGUCGGAUGUGAAAACCCAGGGCUCAACCCUGGGCCUGCAUUCGAUACGGGCAAACUAGAGUAUGGCAGGGGAGACUGGAAUUCCUGGUGUAGCGGUGAAAUGCGCAGAUAUCAGGAGGAACACCGGUGGCGAAGGCGGGUCUCUGGGCCAAAACUGACGCUGAGGAGCGAAAGCGUGGGGAGCGAACAGGAUUAGAUACCCUGGUAGUCC